UACGUAGGGGGGCAAGCGUUUGUCCGGAAUCAUUGGGGCGUAACGCGCGUGUAGGCGGCUAGGUAAGUCUGCUCUGAAAGCCCGGGGCUCAACCCCAGGAGGCGGGUGGAUACUGUCUAGCUCGAGUCCGGAAGAGGAGUGUGGAAUUCCUGGUGUAGCGGUGAAAUGCGCAGAUAUCAGGAGGAACACCAAUGGCGAAGGCAGCACUCUGGGACGUGACUGACGCUGAGACGCGAAAGCGUGGGGAGCAAACAGG
RNAcentral lists this ribosomal RNA (256 nucleotides) under uncultured bacterium. RNAcentral's name for it is "partial 16S ribosomal RNA". It matches the Rfam family "Bacterial small subunit ribosomal RNA", at positions 524 to 776 of the family's 1533-position model. The record is from RNAcentral.